AGUGAACGCUGGCGGUAGGCCUAACACAUGCAAGUCGAACGGCAGCACCGUAAGAGCUUGCUCUUACGGGUGGAGAGUGGCGGCCGGGUGAGGAAUACAUCGGAAUCUAUUUUUUCGUGGGGGAUAACGAAGGGAAACUUACGCUAAUACAGCAUACGAACUACGGGUGAAAGCAGGGGAUCUUCGGACCUUGCGCGAUUGAAUGAGCCGAUGUCGGAUUAGCUAGUUGGCGGGGUAAAGGCCCACCAAGGCGACGAUCCGUAGCUGGUGUGCGAGGGUGAUCAGCGACACUGGAACUGAGACACGGUCCAGACUCCCACGGGAGGCAGCAGUGGGGAAUAUUAGACAAUGGGAGCAAGCCUGAUCCAGCCGUACCGCGUGGGUGAAGAAGACCUUCGGGUUGUAAAGCCCUUUUGUUGGGAAAGAAAAGCAGCAGGUUAAUACCCCGCUGUUCUGACGGUACCCAAAGAAUAAGCACCGGCUAACUUCGUG
Molecule: ribosomal RNA, 492 nt
Filed under: uncultured bacterium
Lineage: Bacteria
Description: partial 16S ribosomal RNA
Rfam family: Bacterial small subunit ribosomal RNA
Source: RNAcentral